This 450-nucleotide ribosomal RNA is filed under the name uncultured bacterium. RNAcentral describes it as "partial 16S ribosomal RNA". It matches the Rfam family "Bacterial small subunit ribosomal RNA", at positions 338 to 795 of the family's 1533-position model. The record is from RNAcentral.
CCUACGGGUGGCUGCAGUCGAGAAUCUUCGGCAAUGAGCGCAAGCUUGACCGAGCGACGCCGCGUGCGGGAUGAAGGCCUUCGGGUUGUAAACCGCGAAAGUAGGGAGGAAAUUGCUAGGGGUUCUCCCCUAGUAUUGACCUAUCUUCAGUAAGGACGGGCUAAGUUCGUGCCAGCAGCCGCGGUAAUACGAACCGUCCAAACGUUAUUCGGACUUAUUGGGCUUAAAGGGUACCUAGGCGGUCGUGUAAGAACGCCCUCGGCUCAACCGAGGAACUGCGCCCGAUACUGUGGGGCUUGAGGGAGACAGAGGUAAGCGGAACUGAUGGUGGAGCGGUGAAAUGCGUUGAUAUCAUCAGGAACACCAGUGGCGAAAGCGGCUUACUGGGUCUCUUCUGACGCUGAGAUACGAAAGCUAGGGGAGCGAACGGGAUUAGAUACCCUAGUAGUC